RNAcentral lists this ribosomal RNA (169 nucleotides) under uncultured bacterium. RNAcentral describes it as "partial 16S ribosomal RNA". It matches the Rfam family "Bacterial small subunit ribosomal RNA", at positions 338 to 524 of the family's 1533-position model. The record is from RNAcentral.
CCUACGGGAGGCAGCAGUGGGGAAUAUUGCACAAUGGAGGAAACUCUGAUGCAGCAACGCCGCGUGGAGGAUGACGCAUUUCGGUGUGUAAACUCCUUUUAUAUAGGAAGAUGAUGACGGUACUAUAUGAAUAAGCACCGGCUAACUCCGUGCCAGCAGCCGCGGUAAU